GAUGAACGCUGGCGGCGUGCCUAAUACAUGCAAGUCGAGCGAACAGACGAGGAGCUUGCUCCUCUGACGUUAGCGGCGGACGGGUGAGUAACACGUGGAUAACCUACCUAUAAGACUGGGAUAACUUCGGGAAACCGGAGCUAAUACCGGAUAAUAUAUUUAACCGCAUGGUUCAAUAGUGAAAGACGGUUUUGCUGUCACUUAUAGAUGGAUCCGCGCCGCAUUAGCUAGUUGGUAAGGUAACGGCUUACCAAGGCAACGAUGCGUAGCCGACCUGAGAGGGUGAUCGGCAACACUGGAACUGAGACACGGUCCAGACUCCUACGGGAGGCAGCAGUAGGGAAUCUUCCGCAAUGGGCGAAAGCUUGACGGAGCAACGCCGCGUGAGUGAUGAAGGUCUUCGGAUCGUAAAACUCUGUUAUUAGGGAAGAACAAAUGUGUAAGUAACUAUGCACGUCUUGACGGUACCUAAUCAGAAAGCCACGGCUAACUACGUG
RNAcentral lists this ribosomal RNA (497 nucleotides) under uncultured bacterium. RNAcentral's name for it is "partial 16S ribosomal RNA". It matches the Rfam family "Bacterial small subunit ribosomal RNA", at positions 28 to 507 of the family's 1533-position model. The record is from RNAcentral.